RNAcentral lists this ribosomal RNA (301 nucleotides) under uncultured bacterium. RNAcentral describes it as "partial 16S ribosomal RNA". It matches the Rfam family "Bacterial small subunit ribosomal RNA", at positions 509 to 807 of the family's 1533-position model. The record is from RNAcentral.
CAGCCGCCGCGGGAAUACAGAGGGUGCAAGCGUUAAUCGGAAUUACUGGGCGUAAAGCGCGCGUAGGUGGUUUGUUAAGUUGGAUGUGAAAUCCCCGGGCUCAACCUGGGAACUGCAUUCAAAACUGACUGACUAGAGUAUGGUAGAGGGUGGUGGAAUUUCCUGUGUAGCGGUGAAAUGCGUAGAUAUAGGAAGGAACACCAGUGGCGAAGGCGACCACCUGGGCUAAUACUGACACUGAGGCGCGAAAGCGUGGGGAGCAAACAGGAUUAGAUACCCGUGUAGUCCCUGUCUCUUAUAC